AUUGAACGCUGGCGGCAGGCCUAACACAUGCAAGUCGAGCGAGCGGCGGACGGGUGAGUAAUGUCUGGGAAACUGCCUGAUGGAGGGGGAUAACUACUGGAAACGGUAGCUAAUACCGCAUACCAUCAGAUUUGCCCAGAUGGGAUUAGCUAGUAUGUGGGGUAACGGCUCACCUAGGCGACGGUCCCUAGCUGGUCUGAGAGGAGAACAAGCCACACUGGAACUGAGGAACGGUCCACACUCCUACGAGAGGCAGCAGUGGGGAAUAUUGCACAAUGGGUGCAAGCCUGAUGCAGCCAUGCCGCGUGUGUGAAGAAGGCCUUAGGGUUGUAAAGCACUUUCAGCGGGGAGGCGUUACCCGCAGAAGAAGCACCGGCUAACUCCGUGCCAGCAGCCGCGGUAAUUC
This 406-nucleotide ribosomal RNA is filed under the name uncultured bacterium. Its description in RNAcentral is "partial 16S ribosomal RNA". It matches the Rfam family "Bacterial small subunit ribosomal RNA", at positions 30 to 526 of the family's 1533-position model. The record is from RNAcentral.